AUGCAAAUGCCAUCAAAAGGACUUUUCCAAGGCUUGUAAUGAGGCUGAGCUAACAAGAAAAAUUGGUUUUUUUGGAAUGCAAAAUCCUUGAGUUAAGAGAGCUACCAUAGUAUUCAACAUUUAAGUACAACUCUCUUCCUCACCAAUCCCACUCAUUCCCAACUUUUUUUUUCUUUUUUCUUUUCUUUUGCAUUGAGCCCGUCUUCAUGCUUUUUCCUCUUAUCUUUUCUUUUUCUCAUGUAUUUUUCUUUCACAACUUUUGAGCUCAAUGCUUUUCAAUUGCCUUUCAAUUUCCCCCAUGCAACCCCAAACUUGAACCUUUUCAUCACAUACAAGUAAGCUCAUCCCAACUCAAGGUAAGGAAUUUCAAGACAAGGGUUCACAUCCUGUUUAAGGCUAAGGUUCAAAAAGGGUAUAAUAUUUUCAAGCACUUUGGGUGAAAAUUUGGCUAGAGAAGGGUUUUCAAAAUUGGCCUUGAUCAUAUGACAUUCACAUGCAAUUCCAUCAAUCAUCAAAAUUAAGGCAAUAUCAUUAAUGCUUUCCAGUGAACAAUAAAUACAACAAUGAAAACUCUGGAGCUCAAUACCUCACACAACAUGUUUUCUCACACAAUAUUCAUUCAUACGCCCUGCUUAGCAUCAUAACCACAAUCGUAAUUCAUCACCCAUCUGUUUCACAGAAUAUCAGCAUGCAAUGCAACUCAAUUAUCAUUCACAUCAAAUCCUCAUCAAAUAAAAUCAUCAUGCAAAUUAUUCAGUCAAACAUCUUCAGAAAAAGUAUUCAAGCCAAGCAUACACACGAAAAAUAAAAUUCAACCUAUUCUAAGAAUUUAAAUGCAAAGGUAAAAGAGAGAAUCUAGGGUGCCUCCUAGUAGCGCUUGUUUAACGUCACGAGUCUGACCCAAACCUGUUUAGCACUUGUCAGUAAGUGCAAAUUCAUCCAACACCCAUCAGUAGGUGUACCUUCCUGUGUUCUUCAGUAAUUCCAUAAAAUUUAGCAUCCCCCAGUAGAUGUCACCCAAAAAUUGUUCCAAAAAUUCAAAAAUUUACAAGUUCAACAAAAACAUAAAACCAAUAAAAAUGUCUGAAAAUACAAAAAGUGCUCUCUAGCAAAUCAACUCUUCUUUUUCAUGUUGGGAUCUUCAUCGUCCCAGUUGCUCAACUUUCUUUUAUCCACUCUUCGAAUUGCUGUGGAGUAAGGCCUUCUGAUCUCUACCACUCCCUCCUCCUUAAGCUUCCUAUUCACUAUCCAUUUCCUAUUUUUAAAUCGCACUAACAUGCCACGCAGAAAUAGUGUGUCCUUUGAGUGGAUUGAUUCCUCUAUGCUUGCCUUCUUUUCCUCAACAAUCUAUAAAACAUUACAAUUGUUAUGACAAUCAAUACCUAUGGUGUUUUCCUCUUUUGCAGCUUCUCUUCUGGCCCUUUUGUAUUUUGCUCUUCUUAUUGCUCUCAUUUUGGUUUCCUC
This 1464-nucleotide long non-coding RNA is filed under the name Vigna radiata. RNAcentral describes it as "long non-coding RNA (VRAD_LNC013615)". The record is from RNAcentral. Lineage: Eukaryota; Viridiplantae; Streptophyta; Magnoliopsida; Fabales; Fabaceae.